AUGAAGGCAGACAUGGGAGAGAGGUGGGCACAGGGAGGAAGGUGGGCCCAAGGUGGGCAUGGGGGAAGGUGGACACAAGUCGGAGGUGAGCACAAAGGGAAGGUGGGUACAGAAAUGUGGGCACAAGGGGAAUGUGGGUGCAAAGUGGGUAUGGGAGAAGGUGGGCAAAAGCCGGGAGGUGGGCACAAGGGGCAGGUGGGCACAAGGUGGGUAUGGGAGAAGGUGGGCACAAGUCGGGAGGUGGGCACAAAGGGCAGAUCGGCACAAAGGGGGAAGGUGGGCACAGGGAGGAAGGUGAACACAAAAUGGGGAUUGUUGUAUGUCUUUCGGGCUGACGUUUUGCCCAGAGAAUACUUCUGGAACAUGGCCACACAGCCCGAAAGACAUAUAACAACCUGUGAUCCCAGCCAUGAAAGCCUUCGACAACACAGCACAACCACUCCAGGAUGAGUCUUGGCCACUUGCCUCCAGCCACCAUCGCUAUCCCACAUUCUAAUAUGGGGCCCAAAGGCUCCUGAUCCCACCGCGUGGCCUGGACCUAGACCCGUGUGAAGGGUUGCAUGGGCUGAGGCUGGCCAGACGCCCGGCACGAUGCCCUCCUCCUCUGCCUCUGCACGGCUGUCCCGGCCCCUGAGCCACCCUGGCCCUCAUUGUGAAGACCUUGUGUCGGAUUGGGGGGCAGGAAGGUGAACGGAAAGCAAAACACACCUUCUGGCAAAACCCAGAGCACCACUUAUACAACAUCUUUACCCAUUGCAUUAUUUAUAGCAAGGCUGAAAGAUUUAUUUCCCCGCCUCCCUGCUGAGACAGAGCGGGCCCCACAAGGACCGGCGGAAGCCCUGGGCAAGGGGGAUGAAGGACCAGGAAGCCCCAAAAGCAAUGGGAAGGCAGGGGGUCCCAGGGCGCCCCCCCACCAGCCAGCCCAGCAGCAGUUGCCUCUCUUCCUUUUGAAGGCAGCAAGGCUGGGUCUCCCGGAGAACCCCCAGCUCUCUUCCUUUUAUCCUGCUCCUGCAGUUUCAUUUCAACCAGUCCCUUUGGGCAACCUGCACACUCCUUCCCUCCCUCGAUACCCAAUCGGAGAACAGCAGGGUGAAUCUGGGGUGCCAACCCAGAGAAGCAGAAGGUGAAAAGGGACCCCCAC
This 1141-nucleotide long non-coding RNA is filed under the name Anolis carolinensis (green anole). RNAcentral describes it as "lncRNA (ENSACAG00000038607.1)". The record is from RNAcentral. Lineage: Eukaryota; Metazoa; Chordata; Lepidosauria; Squamata; Anolidae.